This 750-nucleotide ribosomal RNA is filed under the name Staphylococcus sp. HGH0019. RNAcentral's name for it is "bacterial SSU rRNA". It matches the Rfam family "Bacterial small subunit ribosomal RNA", at positions 59 to 794 of the family's 1533-position model. Lineage: Bacteria; Bacillati; Bacillota; Bacilli; Caryophanales; Staphylococcaceae. The record is from RNAcentral.
CAGUCGAGCGAAGGACGAGAAGCUUGCUUCUCUGAUGUUAGCGGCGGACGGGUGAGUAACACGUGGAUAACCUACCUAUAAGACUGGGAUAACUUCGGGAAACCGGAGCUAAUACCGGAUAAUAUUUUGAACCGCAUGGUUCAAAAGUGAAAGACGGUCUUGCUGUCACUUAUAGAUGGAUCCGCGCUGCAUUAGCUAGUUGGUAAGGUAACGGCUUACCAAGGCAACGAUGCAUAGCCGACCUGAGAGGGUGAUCGGCCACACUGGAACUGAGACACGGUCCAGACUCCUACGGGAGGCAGCAGUAGGGAAUCUUCCGCAAUGGGCGAAAGCCUGACGGAGCAACGCCGCGUGAGUGAUGAAGGUCUUCGGAUCGUAAAACUCUGUUAUUAGGGAAGAACAUAUGUGUAAGUAACUGUGCACAUCUUGACGGUACCUAAUCAGAAAGCCACGGCUAACUACGUGCCAGCAGCCGCGGUAAUACGUAGGUGGCAAGCGUUAUCCGGAAUUAUUGGGCGUAAAGCGCGCGUAGGCGGUUUUUUAAGUCUGAUGUGAAAGCCCACGGCUCAACCGUGGAGGGUCAUUGGAAACUGGAAAACUUGAGUGCAGAAGAGGAAAGUGGAAUUCCAUGUGUAGCGGUGAAAUGCGCAGAGAUAUGGAGGAACACCAGUGGCGAAGGCGACUUUCUGGUCUGUAACUGACGCUGAUGUGCGAAAGCGUGGGGAUCAACAGGAUUAGAUACCUGGUAGU